UAUGGUAAUUGUGUGCAGCCGCGGUAAUACGGAAGGUCCGGGCGUUAUCCGGAUUUAUUGGGUUUAAAGGGAGCGUAGGCCGGAGAUUAAGCGUGUUGUGAAAUGUAGACGCUCAACGUCUGCACUGCAGCGCGAACUGGUUUCCUUGAGUACGCACAAAGUGGGCGGAAUUCGUGGUGUAGCGGUGAAAUGCUUAGAUAUCACGAAGAACUCCGAUUGCGAAGGCAGCUCACUGGAGCGCAACUGACGCUGAAGCUCGAAAGUGCGGGUAUCGAACAGG
RNAcentral lists this ribosomal RNA (280 nucleotides) under Segatella copri DSM 18205. RNAcentral's name for it is "Prevotella copri DSM 18205 partial 16S ribosomal RNA". It matches the Rfam family "Bacterial small subunit ribosomal RNA", at positions 493 to 776 of the family's 1533-position model. Lineage: Bacteria; Pseudomonadati; Bacteroidota; Bacteroidia; Bacteroidales; Prevotellaceae. The record is from RNAcentral.